This 76-nucleotide transfer RNA is filed under the name Thermovibrio ammonificans HB-1. RNAcentral's name for it is "tRNA-Gly (GCC) (tRNA-Gly-GCC-1-1)". It matches the Rfam family "tRNA". Rfam says of the family: Transfer RNA (tRNA) molecules are approximately 80 nucleotides in length. The record is from RNAcentral. Lineage: Bacteria; Pseudomonadati; Aquificota; Aquificia; Desulfurobacteriales; Desulfurobacteriaceae.
GCGGGCGUAGCUCAGUUGGUAGAGCGCAACCUUGCCAAGGUUGAGGUCGCGGGUUCAAGUCCCGUCGCCCGCUCCA